UCCCAGCACUCCAAGUCGCAGCCACAAUUAUUGGGUCUAAAACAUCCGUAGCUUGCAUUGUAAGUCUUUUGUGAAAUCGGGACUCUUAAGGUUCCGUCGUGCAAAAGAUACUGCUUUGCUCGAGACCGGGAGGCGUAAGAAGUACAGAUAGGGUAGCGGUUAAAUGUGUUGAUCCUUUCUGGACUCACAGUCGCGAAGGCGUCUUACGAGAACGGAUCUGACAGUGAGGGAUGAAGGCUAGGGGC
RNAcentral lists this ribosomal RNA (245 nucleotides) under uncultured archaeon. Its description in RNAcentral is "partial 16S ribosomal RNA". It matches the Rfam family "Archaeal small subunit ribosomal RNA", at positions 474 to 718 of the family's 1478-position model. The record is from RNAcentral.